AUACGGAGGGUCCAAGCGUUAUCCGGAUUCAUUGGGUUUAAAGGGUUCGUAGGCGGAUAAAUAAGUCAGUGGUGAAAUCCCGAAGCUCAACUUCGGAACUGCCAUUGAAACUGUUUAUCUUGAAUUUAGUUGAAGUGGGCGGAAUAUGACAUGUAGCGGUGAAAUGCAUAGAUAUGUCAUGGAACACCAAUAGUGAAGACAGCUCACUAAGCUAAUAUUGACGCUGAUGAACGAAAGCAUGGGUAGCGAACAGGAUUAGAUACCCCAGUAGUCC
RNAcentral lists this ribosomal RNA (274 nucleotides) under uncultured bacterium. Its description in RNAcentral is "partial 16S ribosomal RNA". It matches the Rfam family "Bacterial small subunit ribosomal RNA", at positions 523 to 796 of the family's 1533-position model. The record is from RNAcentral.